Molecule: long non-coding RNA, 83 nt
Organism: Aphidius gifuensis
Lineage: Eukaryota; Metazoa; Arthropoda; Insecta; Hymenoptera; Braconidae
Exons: 2
Source: RefSeq, a predicted model, not a curated record
GUAAAUAAAAAAAAAAACAAAAGAUGGAUGCAACGAAAGUAACGGUAUGAAGGCUAUAACAUGUCAGAUUACGAGGCUGGAAU